This 505-nucleotide ribosomal RNA is filed under the name uncultured bacterium. RNAcentral describes it as "partial 16S ribosomal RNA". It matches the Rfam family "Bacterial small subunit ribosomal RNA", at positions 28 to 507 of the family's 1533-position model. The record is from RNAcentral.
GACGAACGCUGGCGGCGUGCCUAAUACAUGCAAGUAGAACGCACAGUUUAUACCGUAGCUUGCUACACCAUAAACUGUGAGUUGCGAACGGGUGAGUAACGCGUAGGUAACCUGCCUGGUAGCGGGGGAUAACUAUUGGAAACGAUAGCUAAUACUGCAUAAUAUUGAUUAUUGCAUGCUAAUUGAUUGAAAGAUGCUAUUGCAUCACUACCAGAUGGCCCUGCAUUGUAUUAGCUAGUAGGUGAGGUAACGGCUCAACUAGGCGACGAUACAUAGCCGACCUGAGAGGGUGAUCGGCCACACUGGGACGGAGACACGGCCCAGACUCCUACGGGAGGCAGCAGUAGGGAAUCUUCGGCAAUGGACGCAAGUCUGACCGAGCAACGCCGCGUGAGUGAAGAAGGUUUUCGGAUCGUAAAGCUCUGUUGUAAGGGAAGAACGGGUGUGAGAGUGGAAAGUUCACACUGUGACGGUAUCUUACCAGAAAGGGACGGCUAACUACGUG